Cucumis melo (muskmelon) is the source of this 691-nucleotide long non-coding RNA. RefSeq lists it as uncharacterized. The record is from RefSeq and is a predicted model, not a curated record. Lineage: Eukaryota; Viridiplantae; Streptophyta; Magnoliopsida; Cucurbitales; Cucurbitaceae. The transcript is spliced from 3 exons.
UUGGAAGGAAGAAGAAGAGGAAUUUUACUAGAGUUUUGAGGUUGAAGAAGAGAAGGAGAACUCAAGCAAAGUGUAUCCAUGGCAGAAUCUUGGUUCAUUCUGCACCUCACUGAUUUUUAAUUUGGUUUGAACUUUUCAGAAGGAAUUAAGAUGUGAGGUUUACAUUUACUGAAAUUUAACUCAUUUUCAAACAAAUUUUAUGAAGAAAGCUGGAGCAAAUUCUGAUAUUCAUUGGGUGCUUUUUGAUGAAGAAAACAGGGUAGCUGGUUUUCACGCGAAUUCAAGAGGUCGAGAAGAAUUAAACCGAGCUUACAGACCAAGGAUCUAGCCCAAGACUGUAAAGAUCGAGUUUCCGGUGUCUGGUAAACUGCCUUAGUCUGCUGAAGCUCUGUUAUCGAUUGCCAGUACGUGUUUCGAGUUGAAAUAGAGUCUGUUGUGUUAUGAUGUAUAUACACCCUUGUAUGUUAUAGAUACUCCACAGUUUGUAUAAGCUUUAGGAGCUACAGUUGUGUAAAUUUUUGUUGGUUAUAUUUCUAUUAAGGUGUCUUUAGGUUUACUCGUGAAAUCUGUUAAUUUCGAGGUACACUUCAUGUAUGUGUUUGACUAGCCUAGGAUCCGCUCUGUUUUGUUGCAUGUAUAAUAGUUUAUAUACUAGAUUGGCAAGUUCACCACAUUAAAGUUUUAAGCAGAU